This 532-nucleotide ribosomal RNA is filed under the name Helenozyma melibiosica. RNAcentral's name for it is "[Candida] melibiosica partial large subunit ribosomal RNA". It matches the Rfam family "Eukaryotic large subunit ribosomal RNA", at positions 68 to 664 of the family's 3401-position model. The record is from RNAcentral. Lineage: Eukaryota; Fungi; Ascomycota; Pichiomycetes; Serinales; Metschnikowiaceae.
ACGGGCAUUGCCCAGUACGGCGAGUGAAGCGGCAAAAGCUCAAUUUUGAAAUCCCCCCGGGGAGUUGUAAUUUGAAGACUAGGGGAUUUGGCCCAAACCUGCGCAAGUCCAUUGGAACAUGGCGCCCAAGAGGGUGAGAGCCCCGUCGCGCAGGCCGCAGCCUUGACAUCCCCCCGUCAAAGAGUCGAGUUGUUUGGGAAUGCAGCUCAAAGUGGGUGGUAAAUUCCAUCUAAAGCUAAAUAUUGGCGAGAGACCGAUAGCGAACAAGUACAGUGAUGGAAAGAUGAAAAGCACUUUGAAAAGAGAGUGAAACAGUACGUGAAAUUGUUGAAAGGGAAGGGCUUGCAAGCAGACACGAGUUCGCUCGGGCCAGCAUCAAUUUCGCGAGGUGGACAACACGCCAGGAAUGUGGCAGGCUCCGGCCUGUGUUAUAGCCUGCGCGCCAUACACCUCCGCGAGAUUGAGGCCUGCUCCAAAAGGAUGCUGGCGUAAUGGUUGCAAGUCGCCCGUCUUGAAACACGGACACAAAAAA